CCCUUCCGUAAGGUGGAACCUGCGGAAGGAUCAUUAUUGAUUGCGAAUCGUUGUCUUCGGUGCUGGCCAGCUCUGGCAAGUGCACGUUGGCGGCUUUUCAUCCAAUACCCCUGUGAACCUUUGGCCUCUUGCUAGCUUUGGCUGGCAGAGGAUUUUUUACACCCACUCGAAUGUAAUGAAAUUAUUGUUGUGCGCAAGCACUACUGUACAACUUUCAACAACGGAUCUCUUGGCUCUCGCAUCGAUGAAGAACGCAGCGAAAUGCGAUAAGUAAUGUGAAUUGCAGAAUUCAGUGAAUCAUCGAAUCUUUGAACGCACCUUGCACCCUUUGGCAUUCCGAAGGGUAUGCUCGUUUGAGUGUCAUUGUACUCUCACACUUCUGAUCCUUUUGGAUUGGGAGCGGUGGACUUGGGUGUUUGCUGCUUUACUGCGGCUCACCUCAAAUGCAUUAGUGCAACUCUUGGUUGGACAUAGUACGGCGUGAUAAGUAUCUUCGCCGGCACCUCGCAAGAGGGUGGCUGAUCAGGAGCUCUGUGCUCUCCAACUGUCUUCAGACAACAACUGACAACUUGACCUCAAAUCGAGUAGGACCACCCGCUGAACUUAAGCAUAUCAAUUAAGCGGAGGAA
Molecule: ribosomal RNA, 629 nt
Filed under: uncultured ectomycorrhiza of Pinus banksiana (cf. Sebacina)
Lineage: Eukaryota; Fungi; Basidiomycota; Agaricomycetes; Sebacinales; Sebacinaceae
Description: eukaryotic LSU rRNA
Rfam family: 5.8S ribosomal RNA (bases 210-363)
Source: RNAcentral